Molecule: non-coding RNA, 205 nt
Filed under: Perkinsus marinus ATCC 50983
Lineage: Eukaryota; Perkinsozoa; Perkinsida; Perkinsidae
Description: Eukaryotic small subunit ribosomal RNA
Rfam family: Eukaryotic small subunit ribosomal RNA
Source: Rfam by way of RNAcentral
GCAGUCAUCAGCUUGCGUUGAUUACGUCCCUGCCCUUUGUACACACCGCCCGUCGCUCCUACCGAUUGAGUGAUCCGGUGAGCUGUCCGGACUGCGAUUAGUUCAGUUUCUGUUCUCUUCGCGGGAAGUUCUGCAAACCUUAUCACUUAGAGGAAGGAGAAGUCGUAACAAGGUUUCCGUAGGUGAACCUGCGGAAGGAUCAUUC